This 427-nucleotide ribosomal RNA is filed under the name uncultured bacterium. Its description in RNAcentral is "partial 16S ribosomal RNA". It matches the Rfam family "Bacterial small subunit ribosomal RNA", at positions 355 to 774 of the family's 1533-position model. The record is from RNAcentral. RNAcentral also lists the same sequence under 1 other name.
UAGGGAAUCUUCGGCAAUGGGCGAAAGCCUGACCGAGCAACGCCGCGUGAAUGAUGAAGGCCUUCGGGUUGUAAAAUUCUGUUAUAAGGGAAGAACGACUUUAGUAGGAAAUGGCUAGAGUGUGACGGUACCUUAUGAGAAAGCCACGGCUAACUACGUGCCAGCAGCCGCGGUAAUACGUAGGUGGCGAGCGUUAUCCGGAAUUAUUGGGCGUAAAGAGCGCGCAGGUGGUUGAUUAAGUCUGAUGUGAAAGCCCACGGCUUAACCGUGGAGGGUCAUUGGAAACUGGUCGACUUGAGUGCAGAAGAGGGAAGUGGAAUUCCAUGUGUAGCGGUGAAAUGCGUAGAGAUAUGGAGGAACACCAGUGGCGAAGGCGGCUUCCUGGUCUGUAACUGACACUGAGGCGCGAAAGCGUGGGGAGCAAACA